Molecule: transfer RNA, 72 nt
Filed under: Candidatus Woesearchaeota archaeon
Lineage: Archaea; Nanobdellati; Candidatus Woesearchaeota
Description: tRNA-Thr
Rfam family: tRNA
About the family: Transfer RNA (tRNA) molecules are approximately 80 nucleotides in length. Their secondary structure includes four short double-helical elements and three loops (D, anti-codon, and T loops). Further hydrogen bonds mediate the characteristic L-shaped molecular structure. tRNAs have two regions of fundamental functional importance: the anti-codon, which is responsible for specific mRNA codon recognition, and the 3' end, to which the tRNAs corresponding amino acid is attached (by aminoacyl-tRNA synthetases). tRNAs cope with the degeneracy of the genetic code in two manners: having more than one tRNA (with a specific anti-codon) for a particular amino acid; and 'wobble' base-pairing, i.e. permitting non-standard base-pairing at the 3rd anti-codon position.
Source: RNAcentral
GCCUCCUUAGCAUAGCGGUAGUGCACAGCCUUGGUAAGGCUGAGGUCCCGAGUUCAAAUCUCGGAGGAGGCU